This is a non-coding RNA of Macaca mulatta (Rhesus monkey), 343 nucleotides long. NCBI's taxonomy places the organism in Eukaryota, Metazoa, Chordata, Mammalia, Primates, Cercopithecidae. The record is from RefSeq and is a predicted model, not a curated record.
GCUUAUUCAUUAUUUCUAAUACAUCUUAGGAACUUGGGAGCAUUUUAGUUGUUUUCUAGAUCCAGCUGCUGAGAUCAGGCUGCACCAUGCAUCAGUUGUAAAGAUCCUGGAGGAAAGAAGACUCCCUUCCUGCAGACCUGCAGCUGAAGUGUUCUCUAAGUAGAAACCAACCACUUAGAAUUAAGUCAACAUAAAGGAGAGAAAUACCUGGAGAGGAAGGAGUCAGCUGUGAAGACACCAUUUGAGCAUCUUGAUCCAGUUAUGUCUGAAGACUCUAUCGCCAAACUUUUUAUUAACAUAAGAGAAUAAAUAGUACUUUCUUGUUUCAAAAAAAAAAAAAAAA